RNAcentral lists this ribosomal RNA (463 nucleotides) under uncultured bacterium. Its description in RNAcentral is "partial 16S ribosomal RNA". It matches the Rfam family "Bacterial small subunit ribosomal RNA", at positions 28 to 502 of the family's 1533-position model. The record is from RNAcentral.
GACGAACGCUGGCGGCGUGCUUAACACAUGCAAGUCGAACGGAAAGGCCCUGCUUUUGUGGGGUGCUCGAGUGGCGAACGGGUGAGUAACACGUGAGUAACCUGCCCUUGACUUUGGGAUAACUUCAGGAAACUGGGGCUAAUACCGGAUAGGAGCUCCUGCUGCAUGGUGGGGGUUGGAAAGUUUCGGCGGUUGGGGAUGGACUCGCGGCUUAUCAGCUUGUUGGUGGGGUAGUGGCUUACCAAGGCUUUGACGGGUAGCCGGCCUGAGAGGGUGACCGGCCACAUUGGGACUGAGAUACGGCCCAGACUCCUACGGGAGGCAGCAGUGGGGAAUAUUGCACAAUGGGCGGAAGCCUGAUGCAGCAACGCCGCGUGCGGGAUGACGGCCUUCGGGUUGUAAACCGCUUUCGCCUGUGACGAAGCGUGCGUGACGGUAAGGGGUAAAGAAGCACCGGCUAACU